Molecule: ribosomal RNA, 543 nt
Filed under: Lysmata gracilirostris
Lineage: Eukaryota; Metazoa; Arthropoda; Malacostraca; Decapoda; Hippolytidae
Description: partial 16S ribosomal RNA
Rfam family: Bacterial large subunit ribosomal RNA
Source: RNAcentral
GUCUGUUUGGAAAGUCAUGAACAGUCUAGCCUGCCCACUGGGUAACACUGAAGGGCCGCGGUAUUCUGACCGUGCGAAGGUAGCAUAGUAAUUAGUUCUUUAAUUGAGGACUGGAAUGAACGGUUGGACGAGAAGUUAGCUGUCUCUAAGGCAAGGCUUGAAUUUUACUUUUAAGUGAAAAGGCUUAAAUAAAAUAAAGGGACGAUAAGACCCUGUAAAACUUAACUUUCUAUUUUAAAGGUUUCUGAAUUCUAAGUGUAAAUUUGCUUUUAAGGUAGGUGUUUUGCUGGGGCGGCAGGAAUAUAAUUAGUUAACUGUUCUUUUUAGAAUAAUAAUAAUAAUUAGGUUAAUUGAUCCUCUAAUAGGGAUUAAAAGAUUAAGUUACUUUAGGGAUAACAGCGUAAUUUCUCUUGAGAGACCAAAUCGACAGAGUUAGUUGCGACCUCGAUGUUGAAUUAAGAUAUCAUUCAGGUGCAGGAGUCUGAAUAGUAGGUCUGUUCGACCUUUAAAAUCUUACAUGAUUUGAGUUCAAACCGGCGUGAG